This 116-nucleotide ribosomal RNA is filed under the name Diporeia hoyi. RNAcentral describes it as "partial 28S ribosomal RNA". It matches the Rfam family "Eukaryotic large subunit ribosomal RNA", at positions 1 to 118 of the family's 3401-position model. The record is from RNAcentral. Lineage: Eukaryota; Metazoa; Arthropoda; Malacostraca; Amphipoda; Haustoriidae.
ACCUCGGCUCAGAAGAGAUUACCCGCUGAACUUAAGCAUAUCAGUAAGCGGAGGAAAAGAAACCAAUAGGGAUUCCCUUAGUAGGGGCGACCGAAAUGGGAAGAGCCCAGCGCAGA